Molecule: non-coding RNA, 55 nt
Filed under: unclassified sequences
Description: eL15-Euryarchaeota ribosomal protein leader
Rfam family: eL15-Euryarchaeota ribosomal protein leader
Source: RNAcentral
CGGGAUUCGUCCCGUAGAGAAGGAAUGUAGCUCAGGAAAUGAGCCGAACCUUAGG